Molecule: non-coding RNA, 12137 nt
Organism: Monodelphis domestica (gray short-tailed opossum)
Lineage: Eukaryota; Metazoa; Chordata; Mammalia; Didelphimorphia; Didelphidae
Source: RefSeq, a predicted model, not a curated record
UGAACCAGUUGGCAGUGCCAAGUACUUGGUGGAGAGAACUUCCUUUUCUGAUUCUGAAGUAUUCAUUGCUGCUUAGGAGACAGAGAAACAAAACAUAUAGAAACAGUUGCCAGGUGACAUAUCUGUAAGUAGGAAGCUGGUGUAAGGAACUGAGAAUCAGGCUUGUAGUGGAUUAAUAGUAAUAGAUCUAGUUGAUGGAUCUGGUUUAAUUAAAUUAAAUUCAAUUAAUUUAGUUUAACAGUAAAAGAUCUAGUUUAAUGGAUACAAAGCUUAUUGAUAAGUGGGACUUCUGAGUUGGAUCUGAACCUUCAUGAAUGUUUCUGUCUGAAGAUUGUGAGGUUAGGGAACACACAUGAUAUUGAAGCUGAGCCUGCUAUUAUAGCUUAAACAUUAUUAGAAUUUGUAUUCCUAAGGCAUUCUACUUUCUUAAUGUCUGUGUAGGUCAGUGGUGUCAAAUUAAAAUAGAAUUGGCCCCUGCUGGCCACAUAGUGACUUAGAAAACCACAAAUUAACACUGUUGUAUUUUUUUUUUAAUUUAGUUAAACAUUUCCCAAUGACAUUUUAAUCUGCUCACGUAAGAGUUUUGAGUUUGACAUUUCUACUAUAGGUCAUGAUGAGAUAACAACCAUGCUUCUUCAAAAUGGUGCUUCAAAAUGACUACAAUGUCGCCUUGAUCAUCUCCAUCUCUAAAAAGUAGGACUUUUUUCUUCCUAUCUUUAACAGUUUCUGGAAGAACUAUGUGUAGAUACAGACUUUGGACAUUGGUAGUAGGGCCUGUGAGAAGAGGGCCCCAUAGCAAUGCUGGAUGAUGCAAUUUUUUCAUGAUGAACUCCUUCUCUUUUGAGCUUAUAAAAGUAGGAUCUGAGAUGAAUCAUUUCUCUAGAUCAUCAAAUUUUAUUUGUUAUUAAAUCUACAUGUCAGUAGAAAAACUUGGGAGUGACACUGUUAAGACAGAGAAUGUAGCGAUAAGCAAGAUACCAUACAAAGGCAAUGCAUGUCUGUAGAUGGCUAGCCGGAUGAGGAUUCCAGAUGUAUAGCUUUCAUUUGGACUCUCCAUUGCCCUUUUAAAUGCCCCAGGAACUCCCAUCUUUUCCUAAAAUUGACAUGUCUGCACUUUGCAACUAGCUGGUGCUGGUGGAGAUACUGGAAGAUAGCCUACCCAAUUUCUGCAUGCUGGAUAGAUCUUGGAAGUAGAUGCUGUCAAGAUAAAUUACAUGAAGGAGAUAAGACUAGGCAGUAGUUUGCAUGGAAAAAGAGUCAGGAAUUGUAGUGGACUGCAAGUCCAGAAUUAUCCAGAAGUGUCAGCCAGUAAGCAUUUAUUAAGAAGUCUUAUAUUUGCCAGACACUUUGCUAAGCACUGAGGAUACAGAGAAAGGAAAAAGACAGUUCCUAUACUUAUGGAAUUCAUAAUCUAAUGUGGGAGACAACAUGCAAAAAACAGAAAAAUCUAUGUACAGAUAAACUACAUAAUUAAGAGGAAUUGGGAAACCCUUCUUGGAGGAGAUGAGGAUUUAACUGAACUUGAAGGAAACCAAUUGGUGGAGAUGGGGAGAAAGAACAUUCUCAGCAGGAGGGACAGCCAGAGAAAAUGUCCAGAGUCCAAAGAUGAAGUUUCUUUAUUCAACUGCAAGGAAUGUUUUGAGAACCAAAAAAAAAAAAAAAAAGAUCUGAGGCUACAUUAAAGGAGACUUGGGGCCAGGACUAAGUAGUUCAUCUGCCAAAUCCCUGCAUAUUGGUACUCUGGUCUGUUGAGACCAUAUCUGGAGUAUUAUAAUUCUAGGAACUACAUUUUAAGGGAGAUACUAAUCAAGUAGAAAAUGUCUAUAUGAGGGAAGGCCCAUAUAAAGAAUGAAGAAACUUUUAAGAAACUGGGGAUAUUGAUCCUGGAGAAGACAAUACUUAGUGUAAAUAUGAGCACUCUUUAAGUAUAUGAAGCACUGUCAUGUGCAAGAGGAAAUAAACUUAUUUCUUUUCUCUUGUCAUACCACUCUUUAACUCAAGAAACUUCAGUGCUUCCCUGUUGUUUACAGAAUAAAAUGUAAACCUCCUAGUUUGGUAUUUAAAAUCCUAUAUUAUCUGGCUCUAGCCUUCUCCUUCAGACUUAUAUUCUAGUCAAAUUAAUGAUGGGAUUAUGAAUGUAGGCCAAACAACUCAUUUUGGAGAUAAAGGAGGUUAAUUUGCCCAAGGCUAUGCAGGUAAGAAGUGGGAGAGGUGAGAUUUGAACCCAGGCCCUCUUACUGUCCUUUUCCAUAUAUCAUACUACCUUAUGUGCUUUUUAAAUUAUCUGGAUCCUUAAAACUCCCAAAUGGAAUGAUGAAGUUAGAUACAACUGAAACAACUGAACAAGAACCUCUAUACUGUGAAUUUUAGAUUUACUCCACCUUGCUUAGUCUUUGGAAUUUUAGUAACCAGGAAUGUAUAAAGAUUUAGUGUGGGGGAAGAAGGUCUAUGACCCGCAUGUGCUAGCAAGUGACAAGUCAGAAACAAUUGACUGACCCCCUGGGCUGUCCAAAGCCAAGUUUAAGCCACCACUGGUACAUGUGAUGUAAAGACCUGCCUUUAUAUUUCACAUCACUUCCUGUGAGAGGACUGUGGCGGUGGAACUUGACUUGGAGGGACUCAAGUGUGAGACCUCAGUCUGCUUCCUUGAGACAAUCAGGUGGUAAGUUCUGACUCUCCUUUCCGUGGCUUUUUUUGGAGGAAACAGCUUCUGGGAAGAUCCCUUGGCUGAGGCCUCUGAACUCCUCCUGACUCAGACCAGGCUGGAGCAGAUCUUCUUCCUUUUUCCCUCUCUCUCCCUCAUUCUUAAUUUCUUGCUUCUAUUGUAAAUAAACCACCAUAAAAUUCCAUUCUGACUUCAGUUUUCAUUGAGAUUUAGAAUUUAAAUCCCUGGCACCAACUAAAAAAUAUACAUAGUCUCAACUGUAAAAAUGGAGAUUUGAACCCCGGACUUCAAUCCUCAGAAAUCCUUGCUCUAGUUCCUGAGAUGCCCUCUAAUCUCACUCAGAUUUCCACCUGGGCGAGAUCAAAAUUUCUAUUUAGCUGGCUGUAAAAGCCUACUGAGCUCUCUUCCUACUUCCGCUUCCAAGCAGACGCAUCUCUCAUGAUGUAAGUGAAAUUGAUUGGGCCUUUAGGCCCUCCUAGGCACAUGCUUUCUUACUUGUACUUUCUUUAAAUUCUUAAACUUUAAUAAACCUCAUAAAAUAUAAUACUUCUAGCAGAGAAACUAAUUUUAACUGCUACAGUUUGGCGUAACCACUUCAGGAAAACGAAAUGCCCUCAAUCUUCCGAUCUACUGUAACUAAGUUCAGCCUUUAAUAGCUAGUGCCUAGUUUGUUUGUUUUUUAAGCUACGUUUCUCCAAGAUGCUUUUUUAGAAAACCAUCUUGAUCAGCUCUGGCCUGUAGCCAUCCGCUUCGUACUUUCUUGAGUCCUUCCCACAGGCUGGCUGGCUCAGCUCCUGUUCCCAGCUUCCAGACCUGUUUGACUCAGAUCUCAGAUCACCUGGUAGCUCGCCGCUGCCCCCCCCCCCCCCUCGAAAACUCUAGCCUCGGAGCAGACCACUCAUGGCCCCAGGCCCAGGACUCAUUUCUACCAGCUGGUAAAGAUGGGGAGGUAAUGUUCCCUUAGGCUAUGAUUAGCCUCCACAUGGACUGGGGGGCAGGGGAUCACAGGAGGGGAGAAAGAAAGGGAAAGAAGGAAGAGACUUUUUCAAACAGGAACUUACAAGCAUGGGGUAUUUAAAAGGAUAUCUUUUAACUAUAUUGGUUCUUUCAUUUACUUCACAUGAGAUUCAGAAAAAAAAAUUCAGCUCUCUGCAACUCUUUAGCUAACUUUGGAGGGGCAGCUGGAUAUCUCAGUGGACUGAGAGCCAGGCCUAGAGACGGGAGGUCCUGGGUUGAUAUCUGGCCUCAGACACUUGCUGGCAGUGUGGGUCCCUGAGUGGGUCACUUAAACUCCAUUACCUAGCCCAUACCAAUCUCCUGCCUUCUGACAAUAGGCAUCUAAAUGGAUAAAAACCCAAGGAACUUUAAAGAGACUGGAAGUUAUAUUUUUAAGGCAUUUCAGACUCCAAUGUUUUAUAAAAAUCUCUGUAUUCUAUUGUAUUUUACUGUUUGCUUUCUUUAAGAUUUAACUUUGUGAUUUUAAGUUCAUAUAUUACUGCAUUCCAUACUUUUCUGUUACACUAAAUCAUUUUAAUGUAUUGAGUUUUAACUACUGUUAAAUUCUGUUGCUUUUCCCCUAUAACCAUACUUGAAUAGGCCCAUAUGUAAAACAGCUUUUCUGUUUUUGACUUUGUAAAUUAUCACAUAGAGAAUAGAUGGACUCCAUCAGAAAAAUUGCUAUAACAACCUUUGGAAAAUUUAAUGUGCUAAAUACCUCUAUCUCUACUGAUUUUAAGGGUUCUUUAGACAUGAUUUUUAGAAACUUUCUUAACAAUCUCUGGUCAUUUUUGCCUGCCCCUAACACGAGGUGUAAGGCCCAUUCUAGCAGCUGAAGUGAAAUACAAUUUAAUCCCCAACUCCUGCAUUUCUAAAAAUGUGAAUAGAAGUUGGGAAGUUAAUCCCAGCGCAUUUGUAUCCCCUAGAAGCCUUCAAAAAAGGGAGCAUCUCUCAUUUAAACACUUCAGCUGAUUUUACCUCCACCAAAAUGAUAUCUAGAAUUCUUGAUGAUGUUCAAAACCCAAAUAAGUUUUACUUUCUUUAAAAUUAUGUUUACCAAGGUUGAAAGAUUUGCUAUGUUUGUAAAAAUUGUGACAAAUAUCCCUCAGUUCAUAGGCUUUUAAAAAAUGCCAUACAGCAACUUAUGUGAAAUGUGAUAGUGUGUUUGUUUGCUAUUGUAAUUAACUGGGCUAUUGAGAAUUUGGGGGAUAUUGAUAACUACAUAUUUGUACUACUGUUCUUUAUAAAAAAAAAUACCUUGUGAAAUUCAUUUGCUCAUACAGUGGAUCAUGGCCAGGUAUGAAGAGGAAAUGGAUAUCAUUUUUGGUGAGAAAGCCUUGUAUUCUAUAUUUUCUUAGCUGCCAUAGAGUGUCAAUGAUUAUAAGCUAUAUUUUUAUUUUUUAAACUCUUUUAUUAUUAUAUUUUUCUUGCAUGUGCAAUAUACUAUUUCAGUUCUUUUAUUUUUUUCUCUCCUUUUUAUAUUUGAAGCACGUCACCAGCGUUAAGAUUUUCUUUAACUUUUUGAUUUUGCACUAAUAUAAGUUUAAAAUACAUUUGCUAAUGCAUGCCCUAAAAGCUUGAGACUAUAAACAUGAUGCCACUAAUUGUUUUAAAAAAACUUUAUGGGACUUUACUUAAUAAUUCUGUCUGACUCCAGGACAAGAUAUAUACAAAAGAGCCAUUGCAUAGGGCCAAAGAUAAACCAAUCCAGGACGGAUUAAUGCACUUCUGGCCAAUACAAAGGUCUUGAACCUAGUGUGAAGACUCAGGGUUGUGAUGUUUAACAUUUAUUAAGACAUAGGCCUUCCUUGUGUCCACACUCACUCUGAAAAUACAGACGAGUAUCCCCAAACUUGGCUCCUACUUAGCUCCUAUAAUCUGGUCCCUUUUCUGUCUUUCAUAGUGUGGCAACUUUCUAUAGUACUGGCUACUGACUGGGUAAAUGCAUCAUUGCUUAAAUCAUUUUAAUUGGGCCCUGAUUCAAGGACCUGUUAUAGAUUUUUUUUCCCUUGACUUAGAAUUUUUACACAUAAGACUGAUAGUCUAUAUUUUCAUCCAGAAAUUUUCUUUUUUAUUUGGAUUUUUCUGAUGCCUUUUCAAUAUCUCUUGCCAGUUGAUUCAUAUACCUCAUAACUCAGCCAUGCAUCCCUAAGUGAUCCCGUGUUUUUCAAUCACCCUUUUAAUGGGGAAAUGUAAAAAUAUUAUUAUUUUAAAUUGCAAAGUUUAAAUUCCUUUUGAGAAGAAUUUUAGGUAAAGAAAGAUGCUAUCUCUCCGAAUCCAGAAACUGAACUGUUGGAGAAGACACCAUGAAGAUGCCUCCGGACCAUAAGCUGCACAAGAAGAUCAAAAUUAACUUUGGGUGUGGUUGAUUGAACAUUUAUUUGUAUGUAGACUUUCAUGGCAAAGGGGACUGCCCCCUAACUGGCUUUUUUGUCAAUGUGUCUAGCAAUUAUUGGUUUUGUGUUUUUUUUUUUCCUCUUAUCCUCAAAUUAUUGUAAUCUUUUAAGUUGAUUUUGUUUUCAUGAUCCUUUGGGAAAAACCUUUUUUCCCAGAGGAUCAAACGGAGAAAUGUAAAAAUGGAGAUAUGAACCCCGGACUUCAAUCCUCAGAAAUCCUUGCUCUAGUUCCUGAGAUGCCCUCUAAUCUCACUCAGAUUUCCACCUGGGCGAGAUCAAAAUUUCUAUUUAACUGGCUGUAAAAGACUACUGAGCUCUCUUCCUACUUCAACUUCCAAGCAGAGCUGUCUCUCAUGAUGUAAGUGAAAUUGAAUGGGCCUUUUGGCCCUCUUAGGCACGUGCUUUUGUAGCAUUCCAAGCAUAUUCACAUCUAAGAAAUAUAAUGGAUAUUGUGUCAUCAGACACAUGGUUAAACUCUGAUAUUUGUGGGCGGACUCUUGACCUAGCCAUGCUGCCUUUGUUCAAGGCAAAUUCAUUAACAUUUGGCAUGGAGUCAAACUCAUUAAUAUUUAGUGUGGAGUCAAAUUCAUUUACAAAAGUGUGGGUUGAAGUCAACACGCCCAGAAGGUGUCAUCAUUGCCAUCCCAUCCAAUGUGAAUUAACUAUGCUUUCUUACCUAUUCAUUGAGCACCUCCCAAUUCACCAUGAAAUAGAUAUGGGAGGCAGUCCGCUGAUUUUCUCUUUUGGAUUUUUCAUUCUCACACUUGAUACUUUUAUCCUAUUUUCUGUCUAGGAACUCUUGUUUCCACGUGUUCCAUUACUUCUCACAUUUUCCUUUAAUUAUUUUUCUAAGGAGAAUGUCAUCAGGGAUUCAUGCCAUCCCAUAAUAAAAUUGACUUGUCUGUGUCUCUUUAUUUAUCACCUGUUUUCUCAGACUCCUUGAUCCUUCUCGAGCCCAAACCCACUAAGGAAAAUUCUUUUUUAUAACAGCCGCUGGGCAUCUGUUAUAACUUUCUUACUUGUACUUUCUUUAAAUUCUUAAUCUUUAAUAAACCUCAUAAAAAUAAUACUUCUAGCAGAGAAACUAAUUUUAACUGCUACACAAACCUAAAUUUUUCCCUUAACAAUACCCAUUCAUCCUCCCCUUCUCCAAUACUUCUUGAAAAAGUCAAAUAUCUUGUCACUAUUUCCUUAAUACAAUGUGUUUUAAAAAUUUGUACCCUGGGGACUUCAUUUUCCAGCAUUCUGUACUUUUCCCGGGGUUCCCUUCUCUUGAAUCCCUGUAUCAUGCCCUGAUGUGGGUCUGUUUAUAAAUUUGUUGAAACCACGCUGGGAGGCUUUUUUUCUUUGCCUCAAGCAUGGCAGGCUUCUGACUCUUUGCUCUAUCACUCUUUUUCUUUCUCCCUUCGUUGUUAUUGAAUCCUAUAAAUUUAAAUACUUGGAGUAUUCAUUUUUAGUCUUACAAUACUCUAACUUUUUCCUUAGCUUGAUUGUAUAACCCCUAUUCUGUGGAAGCAGUUCAUUGCAAGAUUACCAAUUACCUGCCAAUCUCCAAAUUCAAUGGACUUUUAAAAAUCUCCAUAGCCUUAACCUCUGAAAUUUACCAAUCCUACUACAUUCUUUCCUCCCCCAACUUCAAAGACAUCACUUUCCUGGUUUUACAUCUCUAAUCAUGUGCUCUCCAUCUUCUCCAACCCUUAAUAUGGAAUUCUAUAGUUUGACUUUGACCCUCUUCUUUCUCUGAAGUUUCUUCUUUGGCAUUUGCAUUCAUUCUUAUGGCUUCAUCUACCACCUCUAUGCAGGUAAUUCACAAUUUCAUAUCUGUAGUCCUGGCAUCAGAGAACCUUUUGCUUAAGGAAAUGUCCCUAGGUGAUGAGGUUUAGUAGAGUAAGAAGUUGGAAAGUGAUCUGGAGGGGGCUGUUAGUAGAAGGGGAAUAAUUUCAAGAUUCAAGAUGUCAUAUAGAAGAGGAUUUACAAUCUGGCCCUAGAGGGAAGAACUAAGCAAUGUUGCAGAGAGAUUAGAUUCCAUAUACAAAAAGCUAUAUAACAAUCAGAACUGAUCCAAAGUGGAAUAAGCAAAGUUUCCUGGGUGGUUCAGUGGAUAGAAUACUGGACCUGGAAUAUAAAAGACCUAAGAUCAAAUCUGAUCUCUGACACUUGCUAGCAAUGUGAUCCUAGGCAAAUCCCUUAACCUAUCCCUCAGUUUUAUCAACUAUAAAAAUUGGGGUAAUACCAACUACCUCCCAGGGUUGUUGUAUCAAAAAAGCUAACAUUUGUAAAGAGCUUGGCACAUAAUACUUUUCUAGGAUGAGAUUACUGGUCAGGUAUGAAUUGGACCAAAUGGCUUUUAAAGUUGUAUGCAAUUUUGAGAUUUGACUUGAAUAAUGAGCCUGCAGGGAUAGUUGUAAAUACAUUCACAUACAUAAAUAUUUUACAUUAAGAACCCACACUUGUUUUUAAAGCUCUUUUUGUCUUAGGACAAAAUGUCCUAGGAAUGUGCCCCUACCCACAAUCCUUUGUAAAAUGAAUGGUUUGGAUUAGAUCAUAUGAUUAUGGAUUCAGAACUGAAGGGAUCUUAAAUGCCAUUCAUUUUAAUCCUCUGAUAAAUUAAUGGAGGGCCAUAGAGAUUAAGUGAUUUGCUAAAGGUUAUACAGGUAGUCCAUGGCAGAAGUAGCUCCUCAACUGCAGGUCCAUGUUCUAUUUAAUACACCAUACAAACAGCUUUGCCAUAAGCACUUGCUAAGUGCUGCCAGCACCAAGGCUAAAUCCAGGGGGGACACAAAGAAAGGCAAAAAUGUGGUCGUUGCCCUCAAGGUGCUCAUAUUUUAAUGAAGCAGGUAAUGUACAAUAAUAAGUGGAAAGUAAGUUUAGAGGGGAAGAACCUCAUGAGGUAGAGGGAGAAGAUGGGACAGAAUGAGUCAAAAUAAGACUUCCUGGGGGAAAUGGGAUGGAUAUAAAUAGGGAGGAAAGAAGGAAACCAGGGAACAUGAGAAGCAAAGUUGAGGAAAGAGCAUUCUAGGUGUGGUGAACAGCCAAUACAAAGGCAUAUUGUUGAGAGAUGGGAGUGCUGUGUGCAAGGGAUGGCAAGACUGGUAUCAGUCAUUGGAGGGGAGCAAAGUAUAAGAAAACUAGAAAGGUAGAAAAGGGAUGCAUUGUGAAGAGCUUUAAAUGCCAAACAAUGCACUUCCUUUUUGAUCCUAGAGCUUAUGGAGCCAAUGACAUUUAUUGAAGGAGGAGAUUGAUCUAAAGGGUUAGGCUUGAGUUUUAAGAAAGGCACUUUGGCAACCAAGUAGAGGAUAUAUUGCAGUGAGGAGAGAAGAGAUAGAUGGUGAUCAACCAGAAGGUUAUUGUAAUACUUAAGAUGAGAGAUGAUGAGGAUCCAUACUGGCUAGGAUGGUGGCUGUGUGAAUGGUGAGAAGGGGACUUAUGUGAAAGAUGAUUUAAAGGUAAAAAUAGCAAGACAACAAGCAGAUUACAUAUGUGGGGUGAAUGGCCCUGAGGCUGCCAAUCUGAUUGGCUGGAAGAAUUGCACCCAGAAUAGUCAUAGGGAAGAAGGGAAAAUGUGUUUUAUGGAGAAUUUUUUUGGACAUGUUCCAAAAAUUGGUGACACGAGAAUGGUGCUCAGGAGAGAGGUUAAGAUUUCAUAAAUCUAAUUAAAAUGGGUGAGAUCUCAAGCAAAAUAGUAUGGAAGGAGAAAAGAUGAAGGCCCCAGGCAGAGCCUUUCCAGACACCUAUAGUCAGCAGGCAUGGCAUGGAUGAUGAACUAGCAAGAGAUCAAGAAUAAGUAUAUGAUCCUUUGAUCUUAUAAACUAGAAUUCAAUUUAGAUUUUCUAUUAGAUUUAGAAUCAGCCCCAAACUAUUACAGGUGUCUUCAAAUGUAACAGAAGAGUAGUCUGUAAGGGCCAAAGGGAGGUGCAAACUACAUUUCCCAGGAUGCUGAUUACUUGUUGACAACUCCAUUUUUAGAAACCCUUUUGGAUCCAAGCUCCAAGGGCUUUUUUCUCUGUGCCCUCUGGGAAUGAAAUCUGGACAUGAAGUGCUUUGACCAGAAGGCUUCUGGGAAGGGUAGUUCCUCAGCUCUGCAGGUGUCAGGAACUAUAGUUUGGCUACGUGGCAGUCGCUGGUGCCUUUGUUCUCUGGUGGCUUCAGGGUACUGAGUCUCUUCAGGCUCCUCCUCCUGAGGACGCAGACACAGGGAGGGAGAGGUAGAACAUCCUGGGCAGGGGUUAGAGGGAUCUAGGGAGGAUAGAAUUCUGAGGGACUGAAGAGAUUUCCCAAAGAAGGUGAAAGUGGAAAGGGCCACCCCUGAAGAAGGAGUUUCUCAGAAGUCCACAGGCUGGGGCUUUCUUGAGAGUCCUUGCCUGAAGUCAAGACCCCUGGAACAAUUCCUGAGCAUCUUACCCCAGGAGAUGGUGCUUGGAUGAAAUCAAAGUAUCCAGGGAACAACAAAGGAGUGUCUGUUGGAGAUUUGGUGAACAUGUUUGAGAAGAAAGCUCUGCCUGAGAAGUAUGACUUUCUCCCUAAACAGAGCACAGAGGUGGACGAAAUGACCUCUGGGCUCCUGGCAUCCAGAUCCCAGGAAUCAUUGACAUUCAAUGAUAUGUCUGUGAACUUCACCCAAGAUGAAUGGGGGCAUUUGGAUUCUGCUCAGAAAGGUCUGUAUAGAGAUGUGAUGCUGGAGAACUACAGGAACCUGGCUUCGUUGGGACAUCCAGGUUCUAAGCCAGAUGUGAUUUCUCAGCUGGAACAUGGAAAAGGCCCCUGGGUGAAGAAGGGAAUCCCAAAAAGCAGAUGCCUAGGUACUCCCCUGGUUAAGCACCAGUUUGUCUUACCCAGAAUUUUCUGUCUGAUGAUAUGCUGCUUCUCACGAGGUGCCAAAGCUCAACCCAUUUGAAGCAUUGUGCUCAUCUCUGGUCCUUCUGAUCUCCCUGGCUUAGAGAAUCUCCUCUAAAAGCAUCAGAAACAUCUUGCUGUUGGUAACUUUUGCUGAUGCCUUUGGCUAGGUUGUUUCCAUCCUGCCAUUCAUUUUCACCACAUAUAAAAGAUUCACGUUAGGUUAUAUGGGCUCUCCUUCCCUUCUCUGAGGGUGAUGUAGAUGAUAUAGGGGGGUGAUAUAGGAAGAGGGGAGUCCUUUGGUGCACUCUACAGUAAUGGUCUUCAGACCUCAAGGGAUAUACGAUCAACUAACUGGAUGGUGGGGAGGUUCCCUUCCUGAAGUAGCCAAUACUGGGCCUUAGUACAACCUGCCCUUCAUACUUUAUCUCUGGACAAUUCCUCACUCCAUCCUCCCACAGCUGUGCAAGUUUCUAAGUUCCCCUUUGGUAUGGGGGUAAGCCCUUCAGGGUCAUUCUAACCCAAACACUACCUGGUAAUGGUAGCAACAUCUGGACAGAAGUCAUUGGUAAAUAGCCACUGCAGUGCUCCACUUCCUAUCUCCCCAGAUUAAUUGGUGGCUGUGGGAAUAGCUUUCUCAUUGGCUUCUCUCUUCAAGUCUUACCUUACUCUAAUCCAUUCUUCAGACCACCACCAAAAAACAUUUCAUAAAGCAAGUCUGACUAUGUUUUCCCAAACUCAUAAACCUCAGUCACUUCCUGUUCAUUCUGGGAUCAAAUAUAAACUCCUAUGUGUAGCAUUUAAAGGCCUUCACAACCUGCCUCAACCUAUCUUUCUAGCCUUGUUAUAUAUUAUUCCCUUUUCUCUACACAUUCCAACCAAACUGGCCUUCUUGCUGUUCCUCAUCCUCAUCCAAAAAUGACCAAAAUGUCCAAAUAUGAAAAGGAAAUUAAACAUAGAUUAAGCAGAACCAUAAAGAGAAAGAGGAAUGGAUUCAUAGGAGAAACUUUCUCCUGAGUUGAAUUCAGAGACAAUUCACUUUUAUUGUUUUUCCAUUGUGAAUGGUGAUUGUCUUCAUGCAGAAAAAUGUGACUUCUGAAAAGCGAUUAUGUUCAAUGUUAUAACUUAUUUGUUGUAAUUUAUAUUUGUAUAUGUGUUUUAUAAUGUGUGUAAUAAUUGUACAGUGGUGUAUGUAUAUAAUUUAUAAAUAAAUUAAUAUGUAUGUAUAAUUGUAGAUGUGAACUCAA